UGCACAGACAGCCUCUGUCACCAGUUAGUG
This 30-nucleotide non-coding RNA is filed under the name Rattus norvegicus (Norway rat). The record is from RNAcentral. Lineage: Eukaryota; Metazoa; Chordata; Mammalia; Rodentia; Muridae.